RNAcentral lists this ribosomal RNA (484 nucleotides) under uncultured bacterium. RNAcentral's name for it is "partial 16S ribosomal RNA". It matches the Rfam family "Bacterial small subunit ribosomal RNA", at positions 30 to 507 of the family's 1533-position model. The record is from RNAcentral.
AUUGAACGCUAGCGGGAUGCUUUACACAUGCAAGUCGAACGGCAGCGCGGACUUCGGUCUGGCGGCGAGUGGCGAACGGGUGAGUAAUGUAUCGGAACGUGCCCAGUAGCGGGGGAUAACUACGCGAAAGCGUAGCUAAUACCGCAUACGCCCUACGGGGCAAAGCAGGGGAUCGUAAGACCUUGCACUAUUGGAUCAGCCGAAAUCGGAUUAGCUAGUUGGUGAGGUAACGGCUCACCAAGGCGACGAUCCGUAGCUGGUUUGAGAGGACGACCAGCCACACUGGGACUGAGACACGGCCCAGACUCCUACGGGAGGCAGCAGUGGGGAAUUUUGGACAAUGGGGGCAACCCUGAUCCAGCCAUCCCGCGUGUGCGAUGAAGGCCUUCGGGUUGUAAAGCACUUUUGGCAGGAAAGAAACGUCGCGGGCUAAUACCCCGUGGAACUGACGGUACCUGCAGAAUAAGCACCGGCUAACUACGUG